CAUAUACUCCCUCCGUUCGGAAAUACUUGUCCUAGAAAUGGUUGUAUCUAGACGUUCUAGAUACAACCAUUUCUAGGACAAGUAUUUCCGAACGGAGGGAGUAGCUA
Molecule: non-coding RNA, 107 nt
Organism: Triticum urartu
Lineage: Eukaryota; Viridiplantae; Streptophyta; Magnoliopsida; Poales; Poaceae
Source: Rfam